GAAUCCGGAUCAUGGGGAGACAACUGCUCCCAGCAGUGUAACCAAGGCUGUGGAACACGAUGUAACAUUACCAAUGGGUUAUGUCAGAGAGGAUGCCCUGACGGCUUCGUGGAUGACAGCUGUAAAGCAGUCCCAAUUUCAAACAUGAUGGUCGGGAGAGUCACAGGGAGCGUGACUGGUGUUCUUGUAGCCUGUACCAUUGUUGUUGCAGUAAUCAUCAUUUACAGGAGGCGUCAUCCGUCAACAAGUAAGUCACAGGCCCACGUUUCCCUGUCAGUGAGGACAAUGGGUGACAUUCAACCAGAUGUCGAGGAUCAACAGAGCAAUAUAGAAUAUGAAGCAGAGGACCCGGAAGCUCACAUAGCC
Long non-coding RNA from Liolophura sinensis, 366 nucleotides. RefSeq lists it as uncharacterized. The record is from RefSeq and is a predicted model, not a curated record. NCBI's taxonomy places the organism in Eukaryota, Metazoa, Mollusca, Polyplacophora, Chitonida, Chitonidae. The transcript has 4 exons.